UACGGAGGGUGCGAGCGUUAAUCGGAAUUACUGGGCGUAAAGGGUGCGUAGGUGGUUUAUUAAGUUAUCUGUGAAAUCCCCGGGCUCAACCUGGGCAGGUCAGAUAAGACUGGUAGACUAGAGUAUAGGAGAGGGUAGUGGAAUUUCCGGUGUAGCGGUGAAAUGCGUAGAGAUCGGAAGGAACACCAGUGGCGAAGGCGGCUACCUGGCCUAAUACUGACACUGAGGCACGAAAGCGUGGGGAGCAAACAGG
RNAcentral lists this ribosomal RNA (253 nucleotides) under uncultured bacterium. RNAcentral describes it as "partial 16S ribosomal RNA". It matches the Rfam family "Bacterial small subunit ribosomal RNA", at positions 524 to 776 of the family's 1533-position model. The record is from RNAcentral.